This 73-nucleotide transfer RNA is filed under the name Diaphorina citri (Asian citrus psyllid). It matches the Rfam family "tRNA". Rfam says of the family: Transfer RNA (tRNA) molecules are approximately 80 nucleotides in length. Their secondary structure includes four short double-helical elements and three loops (D, anti-codon, and T loops). Further hydrogen bonds mediate the characteristic L-shaped molecular structure. tRNAs have two regions of fundamental functional importance: the anti-codon, which is responsible for specific mRNA codon recognition, and the 3' end, to which the tRNAs corresponding amino acid is attached (by aminoacyl-tRNA synthetases). tRNAs cope with the degeneracy of the genetic code in two manners: having more than one tRNA (with a specific anti-codon) for a particular amino acid; and 'wobble' base-pairing, i.e. permitting non-standard base-pairing at the 3rd anti-codon position. Lineage: Eukaryota; Metazoa; Arthropoda; Insecta; Hemiptera; Psyllidae. The record is from Rfam by way of RNAcentral.
GCCCAGUUAGCUUAGUUGAUAGUGCGUCUGCCUUGUAAGCGCUAGGCCGCGGGUUCGAUUCCCGCCCGGGGCG